UACGGAGGGUCCAAGCGUUAUCCGGAAUCAUUGGGUUUAAAGGGUCCGUAGGCGGUUUAGUAAGUCAGUGGUGAAAGCCCAUCGCUCAACGGUGGAACGGCCAUUGAUACUGCUAAACUUGAAUUAUUAGGAAGUAACUAGAAUAUGUAGUGUAGCGGUGAAAUGCUUAGAUAUUACAUGGAAUACCAAUUGCGAAGGCAGGUUACUACUAAUUGAUUGACGCUGAUGGACGAAAGCGUGGGGAGCGAACAGG
Molecule: ribosomal RNA, 253 nt
Filed under: uncultured bacterium
Lineage: Bacteria
Description: partial 16S ribosomal RNA
Rfam family: Bacterial small subunit ribosomal RNA
Source: RNAcentral